Molecule: long non-coding RNA, 1020 nt
Organism: Bos taurus (domestic cattle)
Lineage: Eukaryota; Metazoa; Chordata; Mammalia; Artiodactyla; Bovidae
Source: Ensembl
AGUAGCUUCUGUUCGCGCAAUUUGGGGCAAAAGGCUGGAGAGGCGGUGGCGUAGGCGUCACUGGCUCUGCCGUCUUAAAGAUCUGUUAUAUAGUUGUAGCCUCAAGUGUCCAGUUGAGGUUGUGAGGUCCAGCGGUGUAUGGGCUCCUACAGGGUAUCCGGUGGGGUGUAUGUGUGGAGGAGGAGGAAGGUCGGAAUUGGGACUCUUAAGAAAAACAACAGGGAGAACCGCUUUCUCCUGAAGAUAAAGCUUUAGGUUAAAUCUGUCACAUGUGUAGCUUGUAGGUCACUGGAGAGGGGGGUAGGACUGAUAGGCACGUAGGAAGCGCUCAACUAAUUGUUGAGUGAGUUUUCCUUACAUUCUUGUAGCUUCAAUCUCUCCCAUUCUACUGACUUCUUCCUAGUGGCACCUACAUGCUUAAGUCUAUCCCUCUUCUGCCUCAGCUCCUCAAGUCCCUACGUUCUUGUCUUAUCUCGUCUUAUCUCCCGUUGGCAGCCAACUUGACGGAAAGAGCUGUUUGUGCUUGCCGUUGCCCUCCCACUCCUUAUCCCUCUCCAAUCUGCCUUUCACCCCCUAGAAACACCUCUGGUCAAAGUCAGCCACAACUCCAUUUGCUAAUCUCACGUUUCUCAAUCUUUACUUGACCUCUCCCCUUGUUGAGAAAUAUUCUUCCGUCAGCUUUUGUGAUCUCAGACGCCUAUUCUGUUAUUUUUUUCUUCCUAUCCUUUAAGGGUGCUCCAGCUCAGUUUCCUCUUCAGGCCCCUCCUUCUCUUCCCUAGCACAUCCCAUCUUCUCCUUUGACUUCAGUGAUUGUAUACUGUUGCUUCCCUGUCUACCUGCAACUUAAACACAGCGCCUGAGCCCAGAGGUGUAUAUUUUAGUACCUACUACAUGCCUCCACCUCCCACAGGCACCCAGACUCAAAAUCUCCAAAAUGGAACUCAUCAUUUCCUCCUUAAACUCCACUGCUCCUUUUGUAUUGCCUGUAUCAGUGAAUGGCACGUCAACCACUCAGUUACC